Molecule: ribosomal RNA, 429 nt
Filed under: Actinomycetes bacterium
Lineage: Bacteria; Bacillati; Actinomycetota; Actinomycetes
Description: Actinobacteria bacterium partial 16S ribosomal RNA
Rfam family: Bacterial small subunit ribosomal RNA
Source: RNAcentral
UAGGGAAUCUUCCGCAAUGGGCGAAAGCCUGACGGAGCAACGCCGCGUGAGUGAUGAAGGUCUUCGGAUCGUAAAACUCUGUUAUUAGGGAAGAACAAAUGUGUAAGUAACUAUGCACGUCUUGACGGUACCUAAUCAGAAAGCCACGGCUAACUACGUGCCAGCAGCCGCGGUAAUACGUAGGUGGCAAGCGUUAUCCGGAAUUAUUGGGCGUAAAGCGCGCGUAGGCGGUUUUUUAAGUCUGAUGUGAAAGCCCACGGCUCAACCGUGGAGGGUCAUUGGAAACUGGAAAACUUGAGUGCAGAAGAGGAAAGUGGAAGUCCAUGUGUAGCGGUGAAAUGCGCAGAGAUAUGGGGGAACACCAGUGGCGAAGGCGACUUUCUGGUCUGUAACUGACGCUAAUGUGCGAAAGCGUGGGGAUCAAACAGG